This 2752-nucleotide long non-coding RNA is filed under the name Mus musculus (house mouse). Its description in RNAcentral is "long non-coding RNA chr10:44697179-44699931". The record is from RNAcentral. Lineage: Eukaryota; Metazoa; Chordata; Mammalia; Rodentia; Muridae.
UGAGCCUUUCUCAAUAGUAAAAUAUGACCUCUGUGGGAGGAUGUGGGACAAUCCGAGCCUGGGCUGACAGAGUAACCUGGAACACUGGGACUGAACACAAACAAGGACAUUGCAGCUUGAAGAAGAGAAAAACCUGACAGAAGCAACAUGUAUCUAAGUGUCUUGGCUUUGAGCCAGAACAAGGAAUCCAAUUAUACUUCUCUGCGGACAGGUUUGUUUCUUUGGUAAGUGCAUUUGUUUUGCUUUAAUCCCAUGGAAAUAAAUGAGAGAAUAAAAACCAGGUUGAGAGUCAGCCUUUCAUUCACGAUUUUUCUUUCGAGGGCAUCAAGAUGGAAAAGAUCCUUUGGAGCUUGAAGAACGGUGUAAUUUGUAGAAGAGCUAAUUAAAGCUUAUAACCUGAGUUACAUCUCUGGAACUCUAAAAGCUAAGCAAAGACCUUAAACCCACAGGACUAGAGGAUCCUUGCCCCAUCUAUGUGAUGCAUUCUGCGUACUAACUCCCCCAUACAGGGACAUGCUGUUCCACUGACCUAGCUAUCUCUAGUUGUAGUUACUCUUCUAUAAAGGAUGAGAGUCUUUGCAACCAAGCCUGAAUAACAACAAAUGCCUCUCACUCACAGCUUCUGGCUUGCACUUUAUCCUUUUUUGCCUGUAUUAUAUGCUUGUAAGGAGAUUUCUAUAUCAAUAAAUUGCAUUUUACCCCUUGGUUCUCCGUCACAGAUAGAAGCAAUUACCAAAGGCACACAAUUAUGUUAAAUCUAGGAGCUUCUUUCACAACAUUUGAAAUCCUACAGAUUUUACAUCAUUUGUGAAGAACCUCCUUCAUUUAUUGUUAUGGCUGCCUAGUGUAGCUCUUACCCUAUGAUCUUUCCUUGGGGCUUGCAAUUAAAUGAGUAAUGAUCUUGGAAGGUUAAGUAGAUAUGAUUGUGAAAACCUAUUAAAUCCAAUUAUAUUUUUUUUUCCGUGACCAUGAAACACAAUCUCUAAAAGCUGAAGUUGUGCAACUCCCUGGAAGGCUCUCGGCUCAGCUCACUGUUGCAUCUAAUGAAAACAAAACCAAAAAUAAAACACAAGUGAUCCAUGAGGCUGUCUCUUUGAGCCUCAUUGCCUGUAAUUGUAAACAUCUGAAGUUAGGAUUUUCAGGAAAAGCUCUGCCCUGCAAUCUGUGCAGAAAGUUAAGAAUAGCCCAGCCUAAUCACUGUUUUUGUCUGAUGGCUCUCCAGACUCUUGUCACGAUUGUCUCAACACAGGUAAGUUAGGCGUCCCGUUUGGGGCACAUAAGCUCCGUUCUGAGUAGAAGAACCAUCAUCUACUGGAGUCCAGGCCAUCUGCUAUUCUUAUUUGGUCAACUAAGACACUUCGCUAGACAUUUCAACAUGACUCUCUUAAGGACUGAUUGUUUCCCCUGAGGUGAGAUGUUGACCUAGGUUGGCACAGUUGUCACCUGGGCAUGGGCGUUGUUCUGGUGGCAGUUGCACCCGAUACUAAGGAAAGGGUGACUUAUGCCACUAUCACCCGCCUUGCUUCAAAGUGGGAGGCUCUUCAGUUGCCUGGUUACCGAGCUGUCACAAGAUUUAAUGACCUGUAUAGGGUGGAACCCCUUUGGAUGAGUUGCCCUCAGAAUGUUAACAUCAGCUCCUCUUUGUCAUCCCAGUAAGCAUGAUAAUAAUAAAGUAGUGCUUCCUCUUCUAGAGGCAUUAGCUUUCCACUUAAGCUUAUGAAAGGUUUAGGCUGUUGGUCUGCUUAGAAACCUAGUUUACUCUAGUCUCAAGAACAAUGGUUCACACUAAAAGAAAAGGGGGGGAUUCAUUUCAUUGUAGUGAACAUUAGGUUUUACUAAGUACGUUUCCAUGGCUCCUGCCUCCAUCAGGCAAGCCUGUGAGUUAGACAUUGAUGGGGGGGGGUAUCUUCCCUUCCCUGUGAGCUGGAUGCUGAAAGCAUGCCUUCUCCUCUUCCUGUGACGUGAGAACUGGGGAGCAUCAUAGACUGCUAAGGCAUAAGCUUAACAUCACAUCUUACUUCAGUGUCUGCUUCUCUCGCCCAGCUCUGUCCCUUUUCCUGACUUGAUCCUCUUCCCCUCCCCUUUCUCUGCUUCUUUCUCUUUACCAAUGCCUUGAAUAUUUGGCUCUAAAAUUACUUGAUGAUGGUUUUAGGGCAAAAUGACUUAUGGCUGGUGAGAUGGCUUACAGGUCAAGGGCCCUAUCACCAAGCCUGAUGAGCUGAGGUGGAUCCCAUAGGUGGAAGAACACAACUAAAUCUUGUAAAUUGUCCCUUGAUUUACACAAGUCCUGUGGUACUAGUGCCCCCAAUAAACAAACACAUGUAAAAAAUUAAAGGACUUGAUAGCAUGCCAGGAAAGUAAACAUUACUGAAACAACCGCCCCUCUCCAUCUCCAAAUCUUCUGGAAGAGGUUGUGAAUAGUUUUUUGAGGAGCUUAAUGAUGCUGUUUCAUUGACCAUUCAAAUAUCCAGGAACCUGAAUUGUCCUUACAAGCUGACCCAAGACCACAAGCAUCUUAAAGUUGUUUUCUGCCUUGUGGACACACAGUUCAGGUUUGAUUACUCUCAGAGGUAUAAAGGGAGCUCAGAGAGAUGGUCCCUCCCUCUGCUUAAGUGUUGUCUAUUCAUAACAAAGCUGAGGCUAAAAAUAAAAUGUGAUUCAGUCCAGGUUACAGGUGUGUCCAUCAGGAGAGAAACCUUAGCUUCACAAGCCAUUUCCAUUUAAAUCAAUAAAAACAUCCUUUUGUCCAAUG